CCUUAUCCCUUGUUCCACUUGGCCGCAGGCACAAGGAACCGAUCGUGGCCAUUGGAUGGCAACUCCGGGGCGGGCCGCGCCACCCAAUUAUUGAUGGAACCCGGUAACCACGAGGGAAGUCCGAUGAUAGAACGGUGGGGGAGGCGGAGAGCGCAAUAGGAGCUGCCAUUUCAGGUCUCACCUCCUAAGCUAUAUACGUCGGCUUUACGCACUAGCCUGCGCCCGUCUCCUACCUCGAGAGGCUUAGGAUCCGACGUUCCUUUUUCUUCCUCCUCCUCCUCCGCGGAUUGUCUUCGCUGAAACCAAGGUCUUUGCUUGUUCCAACGUUUCUCUAAGCUUAUGCAUGCGCAUGUCUUAUGUAUGUGGAGAUUUUGGAGAAAAGAGGCGACUUUGGUUUGGUUGCGAGCAAAAGGAAAGGUCGGAUGGCAAUCCUAGAGAGCAAUCGUUGAAGAAGAUGCGACUUUUGACUGGAUUUGCGAUGCAGCUACUCUCGGAUCGAAGAAAAGGAACGAUCUUGUCAGCCAAAAAGAUGGAACUUUACCUUGUGUUCUGAGAAGAUCUUGACCUUCGGUUCCACUUUGUUCUGCCAUGGGUUUGGUCUAAUCGAGCCAUCAAUGGAAUGUGUCGGUGAUUCAGGCAUCCGUAGUUCUUCGCACACAGUAUCUUCAGGGACUCCGUAAGCAUCUUCUUCUCCCCUGAUCUAUCAUGCCUCUUUCCGAGUUCUAUCAAGCAUCAGCAAGGAAGAAGUUUGACUCUGCCCAGUCCAACAAGAUGGCCAGCCGCUCGUCUAAUCGCUCUUCUUCCAUGCCUGAUAACGAGUUCGUCGAACUACUCUGGGAGAACGGUCCGGUUGUGAUGCAGGGCAAGUCCAACAGGCCUCGGAAGACCUCCAUUGCCACCACCAACUUCUCUUUGCCUGCAGACAGAGCUGAAGGGAAGGACAGCACAGCUAUCGCCAACAUGCCCAAGCUGGGUGUGCUUGAGGCCAUGGACCCAUUCGUCAGCAACUUCUCUCCCUCUGAUCCUUCUGGCAAUGCCGGAAUCAUCAGUACUCAAUUCGACAAUAUGGUUCCCUGGAUCAAUUAUCCGAUUGAAGAGGAUCCUGCCUCCAGCAAUUAUUGCUCAGAGUUCUUCUCUGAAAUCUCAGGGAUUUCUAUGCCUGCUAAUGAGAACAAUAGUUUUGGUCAUAGUACACCAUAUGUGGAGCAUGGAAUUGUUUCUAAAGCACUCGAAGCUGGAACGUGUCAGAGUUCACUUCCAAGCAUCAUGUCAAGAAUUGAGAAUUCACCGAAAAAAGAUGUAAGCAGUAUGGAUUUAAUGAACUCCUCCCUUUUCUUGAGACCGGGCAUGAAAGGAAAAGCUAAUCUCCAGAGUGUUGAGAAUUCUGCCACUGCCACUGCAAGCAGCAACCGGAUCGAAUCGACAGUAAUCCAGUCUUGUAGUGGUUUGCAAAGUACUUCAGGUAUUCAAGGAGAGUUGAACUCUGUCUCAUCCAUGUUGGAGAUGGGAUCAUCCGCAGAAACUCCCCGAGAGAUUGCAUCUGUUGAGCCACUGGAGGAUGUCUGUGAACAGGACAUGCCAAGGAAGAAUCUCAAGUCGGUAAUCGAAAAAGAUCACGAAGCCAUUGCUGCAUCUUCUUCUGUUGGUUCAGGCAACACAGCAGGGACAGCAUCCGGCGAUCCAGCACAAGGUGCAAAGAGGAAGAAUCAAGGAGAAGAGUGUCGUAACCACAAAGAAGAUCUUGAAGAUGCAUCCACGCCAUCAAGAAAGCCCGAUGCUGAUGCUGCCAAGGGAAGAAAUGCAAAGAGAAGCCGUGCAGCAGAGGUGCAUAAUUUGUCAGAAAGAAGGAGAAGGGAUAGGAUCAAUGAGAAAAUGCGUGCGCUGCAAGAGCUUAUACCCAAUUGUAGUAAGGUGGAUAAAGCGUCAAUGCUUGAUGAGGCCAUCGAGUAUCUCAAGACCCUUCAGCUUCAAGUUCAGAUGAUGUCUAUGGGUAGUGGGCUGUGCAUGUCUCCGAUGAUGCUACCAGGUGGGAUGCAGCAUCUGCGUGUUCCCCCCAUCGCUCAUUUCGCGCAGAUGGGAAUGAACAUGACGUUUGGUUAUGGGAUGGGGAUGCUCAACAUGAAUGGUUCUCCGGGCUGCUCUCUAGUUGCAGCUCCUCCUCCCAUGCCUGGCACACAGUUCCCUUGUUCUCCCCUUCAAGCACCUCAGGGUUUAUAUGGGAUGCCUCGGCCUACGAAUCUUCCCAUGUUUGCACAAGGACAAGCACUUCCUGUGCCAGUGCCUCGUGUGCCAUCACCAUUCAAAUCCAUGUCAGGCCUCCCUGCAAAUUUGAACUCAGUGCCUGAAGCUUCGACGACCACAACAAGCAAUCCUUCACGAGCUCCAGAUGCAGAAACCUCAUCAAGCUUUAAAGAUCAAAAGGCUAGCGCUAGUGAUUCACAGGGAACAAAAGGAUCGUCCCAACAAUGUCUGAGUACACCGAGCAUUAGUGAUGAUGAACCAGCAGAACUAGUGAACGGAACAUGAAUAGGAGAAUAUAUCGUCUUUAUGGUUUCGUAUGGUGCAGGGCAUGGAUGAUAAAUUUCAGAUGGUGACUGAUCGAGUUAGGUCAAUGUUUCUGGAUGGAUGCAGAACCCUAUGAGAGCACUGGAGUAGCCAUAUAACUUCAUUGCAGGAAGUUUUGGGAGUUCAAAGCUAGUAGAAAGACUCAUCCUUUUGUUUGUGAAAGGAUGAGCCGCCACGAACACAUUAUUGAGGCCAAACCUUCCGUCGUCUUCUUCCUCGACAGAUGCAGUUCUUCCAAGUAGAUCAACACCUUGCGUGGUGCGAGAUCAAGUCUCCUCCUCGGCAUAUUCUCGAACACUUCGCAUGGCAGCCGCACUUACUAUCGAGGCUGUCGAGCAGCAUGCUUCAACGACGAGCAGGGACGUGAAAUCGUCGGCAUCCGAGUCUUCGCAGAUCAUCUUCCGAUGGAACGCGAAUGCUCGUGCGAUCGACAAAGCCUUCGAGGACCGAGUUGUCGUUGCUAUGGUACUACGUGCAUGCAUGAAGCACGCGUCCUUGGUUUAAAUGGCCACUUAUCCCACGAGAGGCCUGAUACGCACGUGAGCUAUU
This is an RNA transcript of Musa acuminata AAA Group (dessert banana), 3114 nucleotides long. It is a transcript of the gene named transcription factor PHYTOCHROME INTERACTING FACTOR-LIKE 15-like, with no coding region annotated. The transcript has 9 exons. NCBI's taxonomy places the organism in Eukaryota, Viridiplantae, Streptophyta, Magnoliopsida, Zingiberales, Musaceae. The record is from RefSeq and is a predicted model, not a curated record.